Molecule: long non-coding RNA, 1915 nt
Filed under: Olea europaea subsp. europaea
Lineage: Eukaryota; Viridiplantae; Streptophyta; Magnoliopsida; Lamiales; Oleaceae
Source: RNAcentral
GCCGGAUGAAAUUUGAACAAUAUAAUCAAUUGAUUUACCCAACCCAAGACCUAAUAUUCCAAAUUCCAAAUUCCCAAAUUUCCCAAUCCCAGACCGUGCGUUGGUGAAUGGUGCACUGAAUCUUCUCCAAUUUUACUUUCCUCUCCGGUCUUCCUCUUCUCGGCUUCUCCUCUCUCUUUGUCAGUUUUCCUCAAUUUCUCUUCCGGUCUUCGAUUCUUCGGUCUCCCCCGAUUAGGCGCUUGCUGGCUGCUGUAGAUACUCCGUACUCGGAUACAGGACGGGAGUCACGGGACCUCACCUCUCCACUCCUUAGUCAGGCUCCAUAAAAAUGGUAUGUAUUUACCAUGUUUGGAUUAAUCAUUAAUGGAUUUGUAUUUCUUAGAACAUGGGUUUCAGACUCCAAGUUUAUACUUUGUAAAUUGUAGUAUUUUGAUUUUAUUUUUUGCAAAUUGGUAUGGAAUCCAUGGAUAAAUAAUGGAUUUGAUUCAGUGAUUCUUCUAAAAUAUGUUUGGCAGUAUUAGUUUGGAUAAUUUGAUUCAAUGUUAGUGACUCUUCUAGCUUGGUUAUUUUUUGAAUAUAGUAUAAUUGGUAUUUAUUUAUAUAAUGAAUUUGUUUUUUAACAGUCAUGAGCCAUGAAGAAAUAUUUUAAACGAAAAUCCAUAUGUUCGAGUAGAGAGGAAAUUAUUGUUGAAACGAGUGUUCAAAAAGAAAAAGAUGGCCGGAAAGAAUCAAGUACUGGGAGUAAAAGAGAUGUUGGGGAUAAAAUUGAUUUAGAACAACUACCCUCGGAUAUUGGAUUGCGAACUCCAAUUGUGAGUUACAGUAUUAAUGUUCAAGGUGAAAUUAGAAGAGCAUAUGUACAAAAGGGUCCAGGUUAGCUUCGAAAUCACUUGUGUCCAUAGAAAGAAUUUGUAGAUUUUUUGUUAAGACGAUUUAAAACUUUUCGGUUUUAUGAUUUUCCUGAUUGGUUGGAAUACAACAUAGCAAAAGAUGCCCUAUUUUGCUUUUAUAUUACCUUUUCAAACCAAAUUAUGAAGAACAUGGUGGUGGUGAUUCUUUUGUUGAUGGAUGGUUCUCGAACUGGAAAAAGAAAGGAAGGCUUCAAAUUCAUGUUGGGAAAAGUGGCAAUGCACACAACCAAGCUCGAAUUAAGUAUGAGGCUUUUGUGAAUUAGAAACAAAAUAUUGAUUGUAUUCUCUUUAAGAAGUCUAAAAGAACAAAAGAUGAGUAUCAAAUUCGUCUGAAUGCAUAAAUUGAUUGCGUUCGAUGGCUUCUACAACAGGGGCUUUCAUUUCGUGGGCAUGACGAAUCUGAAGAUUCAAUAAAUCAAGGAAGUUUUCUUGAACUAUUACAGUGGUUAUGUGAUCAUAAUAAGGAAAUUAAUGAUGUUUCUUUGAAGAAUGCUCCCGAAAAUCUUCAGUUAACAUCACCUCAAAUUCAAAAGGAUAUUGUGAGUGCUAUUGCAUUUGAAAAAUUUAAUGUUAUUAUGAAGGAUAUUGGUGAUGGGUUGUUUUCUAUUCUUGUUGAUGAAUCUCAGGAUGUAUCAGUGAAUGAGAAAAUGUCAGUUGUUCUACGUUAUGUGAAUCAAAAAGGACAAGUCGUGGAAUGUUUUAUCAGUGUUGAACAUGUCUCUAGUACCACAACUUUUUCACUGAAGGAUUCUAUUGAUCACUUGUUCUCUAGAUUUAACUUGAGUAUAUCUAGUUUAAGAAGUCAAGGUUAAGAUAGGGCUAGUAAUAUGUGAGGUGAGUACAAUGGUCUCAAAGCACUUAUUUUGAAAGAGAAUUCUAGUGCUUUCUAUAUUCAUUGUUUUGCUCAUCAGUUGCAACUAGCUCUUGUAGUUGUGGAAAACAAGCAUGCAAAUAUUAAAACUUUCUUUACUUUAGCGAAUAAAGUGGUAAAUGUCGUUGGCGGA